This is an RNA transcript of Drosophila virilis, 1358 nucleotides long. RefSeq lists it as uncharacterized. The record is from RefSeq and is a predicted model, not a curated record. NCBI's taxonomy places the organism in Eukaryota, Metazoa, Arthropoda, Insecta, Diptera, Drosophilidae.
AUGAAUGUAGGCAUGCAUGCAUAUCUGCAUGUCUGAAUGUAUACAUAUAUGUAUGUAUAAAAUACCCAUCAAAUUAAAUUAAACAAAGCAGAAGUUUCCUACAAAUGUUUUCGCGAAUGUUCCACACAUGCACCUUUAUCACAAAAGGUAGCAACAGUGAAAAUAUCAGUUUCCCUCUUCUUACGGCCAUGGCUGUGAUCACCAAUGAAUCGCCUACGAACUGGUGUUGCAGGAGCACUGGGGGGUCCCUGGACAUGCAGGUCCUUAUGCGGGCAAUUGCUUUUUAUAUUGUAAAAUCGAUAAGCGAUCACAUUAUAAGUAUGUGCAUGCGAGACGUGCGAGAGCGAGGCAAGAAACUCAGCAGGAAGCACCAAAGAGCCGUCGAGCACCAGAUACAGAUACGACAACGACAACGUCGAGGACGAAAACGAGGACCCACAGCAAUGGAAUAACAGUAGCUGUAACUGGUUACAGUAAUGUUUUCUCAGCUCAAACAUGCCCUCUACGACGCAGCGCAGCAUAUCGUGCAUUAAAAAUCGUAGCCAUAUGUAAAGCCAAAGAUAACAAACGGAGCAGGAGGGUCGCUUGGGGAGCAGAAGUUGCCAACUGUCGCGAUUUCCACUGUUGCCAGCCUUUAACUCGUUUCCGAAACAGAACACAGCAGCCGUCCAAUGCGGCGUAUGAGUAAUGGCUGCCGCAGCAAAGAGCCAAGCCAAGCCAAAGGAGAGAGCACAGCUCGACACAUUUUGACCGCAGCAGAGGCAGCCUUCUCGUAAUGUAAAUUUCAAUUGGUAAGAAGCAGCAGGGUAUACAAAAAUCAGUCAAGGCGAAGCAUUUACAACGCGCAGCACUCGCACAUGCAGUGCAAAGCUCAGUUUAGCAGCUAAAUUAAUAUGCUUAAUGCAAUUUGCACACAAAAAGGUGGCUCAAAGUGAGCCAAAGUGAGGUCCGGAACAGCUUUGCGGCGCUUUUAACUUGGCUUGGGCCUUUGUCUCAGUAUUUGACUUUGCCUUUGCCUUUGCCUUUGCGGCUAACGAUCUCAGCCAAGAGUACGCGGAUUAUGCACUUUUCGCUCUAGAGAAGGGCUUAAAUGGACUAAGGCAUGUUCGCAGUUGGCAAUGAAUAGUCAAGCGGAAAGGAGUUUAAUAGAAAUGAGAAUGUGCUUCUAAAAAUGUGAAAGUUUAUAUAUGAAAAAUGAAUAAGAACUGAAAAGUUUUGAUCUGGGCAACUGACCAGCCCCCGACUUAUGUGUGGAUAUUCUGAUGUCUAAGCUGAAGGCCAUGGAAAUUAAUAAAAAUUAUAUAUAAUGCAGGUGAGUUUGUUGCCAAAAUACUCUAUAUAUAUACCAUUCAAUAUAA